AGUGAACGCUGGCGGUAGGCCUAACACAUGCAAGUCGAACGGCAGCACAGUAAGAGCUUGCUCUUACGGGUGGCGAGUGGCGGACGGGUGAGGAAUACAUCGGAAUCUACUUUUUCGUGGGGGAUAACGUAGGGAAACUUACGCUAAUACCGCAUACGACCUACGGGUGAAAGCAGGGGAUCUUCGGACCUUGCGCGAUUGAAUGAGCCGAUGUCGGAUUAGCUAGUUGGCGGGGUAAAGGCCCACCAAGGCGACGAUCCGUAGCUGGUCUGAGAGGAUGAUCAGCCACACUGGAACUGAGACACGGUCCAGACUCCUACGGGAGGCAGCAGUGGGGAAUAUUGGACAAUGGGCGCAAGCCUGAUCCAGCCACACCGCGUGGGUGAAGAAGGCCUUCGGGCUGUAAAGCCCUUUUGUUGGGAAAGAAAAGCAGCAGGUUAAUACCCCGCUGUUCUGACGGUACCCAAAGAAUAAGCACCGGCUAACUUCGUG
Molecule: ribosomal RNA, 492 nt
Filed under: uncultured bacterium
Lineage: Bacteria
Description: partial 16S ribosomal RNA
Rfam family: Bacterial small subunit ribosomal RNA
Source: RNAcentral